CGGGUUAAACUUUAAACGGACUCGUGAGGAUUUGCCCUGGCUACCCGGCAAAAACUCAUUAAAACUACCGGUAGUGCUAAGCAUGUAAAAAACUGAUGGCAGAAGGUUUCUGGACGCGGGUUCGACUCCCGCCAUCUCCACCA
This 143-nucleotide transfer-messenger RNA is filed under the name Aeromonadales bacterium. RNAcentral describes it as "partial transfer-messenger RNA". It matches the Rfam family "transfer-messenger RNA", at positions 229 to 374 of the family's 374-position model. Rfam says of the family: Bacterial tmRNA, also known as 10Sa RNA or SsrA, is named for its dual tRNA and mRNA-like properties. Its role is to liberate the mRNA from a stalled ribosome. Lineage: Bacteria; Pseudomonadati; Pseudomonadota; Gammaproteobacteria; Aeromonadales. The record is from RNAcentral.